UUCGGUGGUUAUAGCGUUAGGGAAACGCCCGGUCACAUUCCGAACCCGGAAGCUAAGCCUUUCAGCGCCGAUGGUACUGCAGGGGGGACCCUGUGGGAGAGUAGGACACCGCCGAAC
This 117-nucleotide ribosomal RNA is filed under the name Streptomyces sp. DJ. Lineage: Bacteria; Bacillati; Actinomycetota; Actinomycetes; Kitasatosporales; Streptomycetaceae. The record is from RNAcentral. RNAcentral also lists the same sequence under 4 other names.